Molecule: ribosomal RNA, 408 nt
Filed under: Bacillus subtilis
Lineage: Bacteria; Bacillati; Bacillota; Bacilli; Caryophanales; Bacillaceae
Description: bacterial SSU rRNA
Rfam family: Bacterial small subunit ribosomal RNA
Source: RNAcentral
AAAGCCCCCGGCUCAACCGGGGAGGGUCAUUGGAAACUGGGGAACUUGAGUGCAGAAGAGGAGAGUGGAAUUCCACGUGUAGCGGUGAAAUGCGUAGAGAUGUGGAGGAACACCAGUGGCGAAGGCGACUUUCUGGUCUGUAACUGACGCUGAGGAGCGAAAGCGUGGGGAGCGAACAGGAUUAGAUACCCUGGUAGUCCACGCCGUAAACGAUGAGUGCUAAGUGUUAGGGGGUUUCCGCCCCUUAGUGCUGCAGCUAACGCAUUAAGCACUCCGCCUGGGGAGUACGGUCGCAAGACUGAAACUCAAAGGAAUUGACGGGGGCCCGCACAAGCGGUGGAGCAUGUGGUUUAAUUCGAAGCAACGCGAAGAACCUUACCAGGUCUUGACAUCCUCUGACAAUCCUAG